Molecule: ribosomal RNA, 234 nt
Filed under: uncultured bacterium
Lineage: Bacteria
Description: partial 16S ribosomal RNA
Rfam family: Bacterial small subunit ribosomal RNA
Source: RNAcentral
AAUCAACGCUGGCGGCGUGCCUCAGACAUGCAAGUCGAACGCGAAAGUCCCCUUCGGGGACGAAGUAGAGUGGCGCACGGGUGAGUAACACGUAGGUAAUCUACCUUCGGAUGGGAAGUAACAACCGGAAACGGUUGCUAAUACCGCAUAAUGCAGCGGCACCUAAUGGUGACAGUUGUUAAAGACGGGGGAGUCAAAGACCUCGCGUCUGAAGAGGAGCCUGCGGCGGAUUAG